This 1197-nucleotide long non-coding RNA is filed under the name Apteryx haastii (Great spotted kiwi). Its description in RNAcentral is "lncRNA (ENSAHAG00000013021.1)". The record is from RNAcentral. Lineage: Eukaryota; Metazoa; Chordata; Aves; Apterygiformes; Apterygidae.
AUGCUGGUGACUACUAAUAGCUGGUCCCGCGGAGCCACUGCUCUGCCGCUGGAUGGGAGGGACGCUUGGUCGCGGGCGACCUGGAUGCGAACGGCACUGUGUGCUGCUCCCAGGCUGGUCGCCCCUCUUGUCCUGCCCGCUUUAUUUCUCCUUAGCAUGAGGGUCACCUCGCAGGUGGCAAGGGCCCGUGCCCCCUGCCUGGUUGCCGGACGCUGCUCAGCCUGUUGCUCAGCCCAUUGCUUGGCCCGUCACUUUGCCCAUCACUCAAUCCAUCACUCUGCCUGUCACUUGGUCCGCCGCUCGGCCCGCCACGCCGCCCAUUGCUUGGCCCGUUGCUUGGCCCAUUGGUUGGCCUGUCACUCGGCCCGUUGCUUGGCCCACCACUUGGCCCAUCACUCAGUCCAUCACCUUGCCUGUCACUUGGCCCACCGUUCAGCCUGUCGCUUGGCCCAUUGCUCAGCUCGUCUCUCGGCCCAUCGCUCGGCCUGUUGCUUGGCCUGUUGCUUGGCCUGUCGCUUGGCCUGUCGCUCAGCCCAUCACUCGGCCCAUUGCUUGGCCCGUCCCUCGGCCCAUUGCCCAGCCUGCUCCUCGGCCCACCGCUCAGCCUGCCAUUCAGCCCACCACUCGGCCUGUUGCUUGGCCCAUCACUUGGCCCGUUGCUUGGCCCAUUGCUCGGCCUGUUGCUUGGCCUGUUGCUCAGCCCAUCGCUCGGCCUGUUGCUUGGCCUGUUGCUCAGCCCAUCACUCAGCCUGUUGCUCGGCCUGUUGCUCGGCCUGUUGCUCGGCCCAUCGCUCGGCCCAUUGCUUGGCCCGUUGCUCGGCCCGUUGCCCAGCCUGCUCCUCGGCCCACCGCUCAGCCUGCCAUUCAGCCCACAGCUCGGCCCACAGCUUGGCCCGCCGCUCGGCCUACCGCGGCCCCGGGCCCUGGCGCGGGAGUCUCUGCAGCUCUGUCUCUGGGAGCGGGGCUGGCACCGUGGCCCCUCGGCCCCCGCCUGCUCCGGCAGCGCUCGCCCCGCUCCCUGCCGCGGCGGCGCUUCCCCGGCCCUGCACAUCAUCUCACUCACUCAYUCUCGCCCUUCCCAGCUCCGUGCUGGCUGCCCACAGCUCCGCGCUCACGCUGGCGCCAAGGCCGCUUUUCUUGCACAGUUCACUGCCAGUGCCACCUUCCCCAACAUUCAAUUUUUUCCCCUUCCCUUAG